GCGAGUUUCUUCCUGUAACUCAGCCGGCUUGAGUGUUUCUGGGUGAAACCUUCUGAGUGACUCUCCUGGGUGCUGUGAGCGGAGCUCGGCAAGCUCAGAACUGCAGACAUGGAUGUAGUGACCUUUGAUGACUUGCAUGUGGACUUCACUCCUGAAGAGUGGGCUUUGCUGGAUCAUUCUCAGAAGAGUCUCUACAAAGAUGUGAUGUUGGAGACCUAUAGGAAUCUCACAGCUAUAGUUGAGAAUGAAGAAGAAUGAGGUGAAUGAAUCAGAGAUGGUUCUAAAGUUCCUUCAACUCAAUAACUUAAAUGUUGCCUGUUUUCCAAUAAUGUAACCUACUUUCUCCGGUACCAUAUUUUAGGCUACGUUUGGGAAGACUAUUCUAUUGGUGAACAUUUUCAAAGUUCUAGAAGACAUGGAAGGCAUGAAAUAAGUGGUACUGGAGAGCAACCCUCUGAGAUUACUCAUUGUGGUAAAGCUUAUGCAUAUCAGAGUCAUACUCAAAGGCAUGAAAGAACUCGUAAUAGAGAGAGACCCUAUGAAUGUAACCAAUGUGUCAAAGCCUUUGUACGAAGCAGUGAUCUCAAAAAUCAUGAAAGAACACAUACAGGAGAGAAACCUUUUGAGUGUAACGAAUGUGGUAAAGCUUUUGUACGAAGCAGUUAUCUCCGAAGCCAUAAACAAACACAUUCAGGACAGAAACCCUAUGAAUGUAACCAAUGUGGUAAAGCCUUUACAACAAGCAGUGCUCUCAUAUAUCAUAAAAGAACACAUACUGGAGAGAAACCCUAUGAAUGUGACCAAUGUGGUAAAGCCUUUGCAGGAAGUAAUGCUCUCAAAUACCAUAAAAGAACACAUACAGGAGAGAAACCCUAUGAAUGUGACCAAUGUGGUAAAGCCUUUGCAGGAAGCAGUGUUCUCCAAUAUCAUAAAAGAACACAUACAGGGGAGAAACCCUAUGAAUGUAACCAAUGUGGUAAAGCCUUUGCAAUAAGGAAUGAACUCCAAAUACAUAAAAGAACACAUACUGGAGAGAAACCCUAUGAAUGUAACCAGUGUGGUAAAGCCUUUGUACAAAGAGGUCAUCUCAGAAAUCAUAAACAAACACAUACAGGACAGAAACCCUAUGAAUGUAACCAAUGUGGUAAAACCUUUGCAGUAAGCAGUGCUCUCAAAUGUCAUAAAAGAACACAUACAGGGGAGAAACCCUAUGAAUGUACCGAAUGUGGUAAAGCCUUUGCAGGAGGCACUGCUCUCAAAUAUCAUAAAAGAACACAUACUGGAGAGAAACCCUAUGAAUGUAACCAAUGUAGUAAAGCCUUUGCAGGAAGCAGUGACCUUAAAAUACAUAAGAGAACACAUACAGGGGAAAAAAACAUAUUAAUGUAACCAAUCAGGUCAAACUUUUUCACAAAUCAGUAGCCUUAAUAUACAUAGAAGAACACGUAUUUUAGAGAAACCCUUUGAGUGAAUCCAGUGUGGUAAAGAUUUUUCACAAAGCAGUGGUCAUCACAAUCAUAAAAGGACACAGACAUGAAAGCAGUUUUUGAAUGUGAGCAGUGUGGUUUUAAACCUUUUCACAAAGCAGUGUCCCCCAAAUAUAUAAAGGACCAUGUACUGAAGAAAACACUGAAUAUCAUCAAUGUUCUGAAGCUCUUCUAUGUCCCAAUCAUCUUCAAAUACAUAAAAGAACAUGUACUGGAGAAAACUCCUCUGAAUGGAACUAAUGUUGUAAAGCCUUUGCAUAAAAGAGUCAUCUCCUAGUACAUCAAAUGAUACAUGCUGAAGAGAAACCUUAUGAACACAAGCAAUGUGGUAAACCUGUUGCAAGUCACAGUACUCUCCAAGUAAAUAAAAGAAGACACACUCAAGAGAAAUCCUGUGAAUGUCAUCAACAAAAAAAAAGCCUUUGUACAUUGCAAUCCUCUUCAAAUAUGUAAAAGAAGACAUACCUGUGAGAAUCUCUAUGAAUGUAAACAAUGUGGUAAAACCUUCAUAUGUCAGUCAUAUUCAGAGGCACAAAAGAAACCAUAAUGUAGAAAAAAAUCCUUGAGUGUUUUCAAUAUGAUGAAGCCUUUGCACACUUCUAUAGUCUUCAUCACCACGAAACAAUCCAUACUGUGUAGAAAUUUAUGAAUACAUUUAAUAUUGUGAAGCCUUUUCAAAAUUCCCAAGUUUUCAUAAGCAUGAAAGAGAAAUCCCAUGAAUGCAUUCAGUGUGGGGAAGCCUUUGUACAUUUUUACUGUCUUCAUCAUCAUGAAAGUACUCAUAAUGGAGAGAAAGUCUAUGAGUGUAAACAAUGUGGUAGAGCCUUUCUGGUGUGGGGUCCUCUCAGAUCCAACACCACUCAGUCUCAGGUAAUGCAAGUGACAGGAGUUUAUGGUAACAAAGCUGCUGCUGGUUCAUGACAUACUUGGAACAUAAUGUGUGACUUGUAACACACACAUUUCCCCAGGUGAGCCAGAAUGUUUCAGAGCUGGCAUGUUGCAGUCCAAAAGGUUAACCCACAAUUAUUAAUGUCUGAAAGAACUACAAGAACCAAACCAGAGAAGAGCCUGAGGAAAAGGAGGUCCAGUGACAUGCCCAAAUUGAGGUCCAUGUCAGUGGGAAGCCCCAAAGUCUGACACUAUUACUGAUGCUAUAGUGUGCUUACAAAUAGAGGGCUGUCAUGACUGACUUCCAAGAAGCUCAAUAAGCAGGUGAAAGAGUCAGAUGCAGAUAUUUACACCCAAUCAGUGGACAGAAACUGGUGACUCAUGAGGUUGAAUUAGGGAAAAGCUGGAAGAAGUUUAGGAGGAGGGCGACUAUAUAGGAAGUCAAGCGGUCUGAACUAACCUGUACCCCUGUGAUCUCUCACACACUGAGCCACCAACCAAGUAGCAUAAACCACCUGAUACAGAGCAGAGGACUACUGGGUCUGGACUCAGUCAGAGUAGAUACACAUGACCCUCCAGAAACUUGGGGCCCCAGGGAGUGGGGAGGACUAGUGGGGUGGGGGUUGUGCAUAGGAACAUCUUGAAGACUGGGGGAGGAGGAGUAAGAUGAGGAAGAGUUGGAGGGUGGAUAAGCAGGGGUAUAAAAUAUGAAUUGUAAAAAAAAAAGAUUGAACAAUAAAUGAAUAAGAAAAAAGAAAAUUAUAAAAAUAAGGAGAGAACACCAGAAACUUCUGUGUCAAGUUACAAGUAGAUUUUUUCAACAAUCAGGGUUUAGGGAUAGGGGCUUACGUAGUUGACAGUUAUCAACUGUUAUAGAAUGUGGGUUUUACAGUUCAAACAAUCAUAUGGAUUUGUUCUUUGGUGGUAAAGAACAGGUGUUAUGUUUUGAGAGCCUGGAAAUAGGCUUAUAUCGUAAGCAGAAGGAAAUUUAAUUGAAGUUAAAUACAUAUGAAAAGAUGUUUGUUCAAGUUACGUAAAGGGAAAGGAUAUAUAUCCAUAGAAAUAUUAAUCUCCAUGGAAGGCAGAAUUUAUGUAUGUAUAAAGACUCCUGGAGCUCCCUUCAAUGUUCUGCUGUGGGUCUCGGCUUCCAUUUUGGACAGUUGCUGGUGAAGCCUCUAAGAGGACAAAUAUGAUAGGCCCCUGUAUGUCAGCAUGAUUAAGUAUCAAAAAUAGCAUCAGGGAUUGGUUCUUUUCCGUGGGAUGAGUCUGAAGUUGGACUAGUGAUUGGUAGUCCAUUCCCUCAGACCCUAUUCCUACACUAUCUGUAGGCAAGAAGGUUUUGUAUCUGAGUUAGUAUCAUCAUUCCUUCACUGAGAGUUCUGCCUGGCUACAGGUGGUGGUCACUUCAGCUCAUAUCACCCACUGCGAGGAGUGAAUCUCAGCUACAGUCAUCCUCAUAGAAUCCCUGGAGCCUCCCCCAUUCCAGGUCUCUGUACAUCCUAGAAAUGCCUGUUUCCAGCCUGCUGCUAAUUCUCAUUCACUCUCUACAACUUCUCUCCACAUGAAAGAUCUUCCAACAUUCUCUUCACCUUCUCUCUCACAGUGUUACCUAUGUCCAUCAACCUUUCAAGAGUGUUUAUUUUCCCUUCUGAAUGGGAUUCAAACAUCAUCCCUUUUGACCCCCUUGUAAUUCAGUUUCAUUAGGUUUGUGGAUUGCUCUAUAGAUGUUCUGUACUUUGUGGAAAUAAUCCACUUAUAAUUGAAGAUAUAAUCUGCAUAUUCUUAUGAGUCUGUGUUACCUCACUUAGGAUGAUAAAAUGUUCCAUACAUUGUUGUUCUUGUUUUUAAUAACUGAAUAGUAUUCCAUUGUACAAAUGAACCAUUUUUUAAAAUUU
Molecule: non-coding RNA, 4270 nt
Organism: Arvicanthis niloticus (Nile rat)
Lineage: Eukaryota; Metazoa; Chordata; Mammalia; Rodentia; Muridae
Source: RefSeq, a predicted model, not a curated record